Non-coding RNA from Corylus avellana, 2251 nucleotides. The record is from RefSeq and is a predicted model, not a curated record. NCBI's taxonomy places the organism in Eukaryota, Viridiplantae, Streptophyta, Magnoliopsida, Fagales, Betulaceae.
CCUCUCUUCUCUCUAAGCUCCCUUGCGCCGCCCACAGUGACACUGCACCGAAGCCCCUCUCUCUGUACCCUCAGCUCACUGCCUCAGCUCACGCCUCACGCCCUCACCUCCGACACCCUCACGGCCUCACCUCGCGGCCUCAGCUCCGAUAGCUCUCUCACCUCACGGCCUCCAGGUAGUGAAAUUCUCUCUUAUGCGAUUCACAUCCAACGGUCCAGAUGCUUAAUUUGAGCCCCUCGAAUUCCUUAUCCUAAAUAGAUCCCAUUCUGAACAGUGCACCCUCCUCAAGCUUCGGAGGAUAGCCGCCUUGAGCUUUCGUGCUGUCGCUCUGUUUCUCAAUCUUCCUUGACCCAUAUAAGCUUAAGAGCGAUUCUUAAGGUCUUGAAAUCCACGACCUCUCUUUCUUUCUCGUGAGAUCCGGUCCGGUCCCUCUUAUCUUAUCCCGACUAAAAAUCGAGUCUUUAAUUUAUUAUUAUACCCAUUCAUCCAUCUUUUUCUUAAGACUAGUUUAAUUUGUGCCAAAAAAGAUUUGUCUUUUUGAUGAUGAUAUGCUAUAAAUCCGAAUGAUUUCGUAAUUCGGCUGACACUUUUGUUGAAUUGUGGUUCUUGAUCAAAUUUUUCCUUAAGGAUUGUAUUAGUGAGCUGCCUGAUGAAAAACUCGUUUGUAUACUCUCACGCCUAACGCUAAGAGAAGCUGUGGUUACUAGUGUCCUUUCAAGAAGAGGGGAGUAUUUGUGGGCAUAAUUGCGCGUGGAGAAACUCACGGUGAACAGAUUUAUUUGUGCUGGAUGCUCACGCUGACCGAGGCCAAAAAUCACAGUUAACAGAUAUAUUGGAAGAGGAAUUGAGAGGAUCCAUUUCAUUUUUUUUUCACUCAUUCUCGUACCAUUAUUCCCUACUAGCAAGAGAAAUGGAAUUCCCUACAAGCAAGAGAAAUGGAAUUGGAGGGUUUGGGAAAGAGGAAAAGAAAGAAGGCGAGAGAAAAUAGGAGUUGAGAGAACUGGCGCUGAAACCCAAUCCGCUGCUGCUUGAAGUCGCACAUUACAGAAUCGCCUACUUCUCUCCUUCUCAGCCUUCGUCCUUCGUCCUUGAGAAGAAAUAAAAAUGAGGCUCUUAAAUGCAAAGAAGCCGCUGACGAAGGCCGCUGAGAAGGUCAUUCGAUGCAGAGAAGUAGGGGUCAAGAAAUUAAACAAGAUGCAGUCCAUCGUUGAUCUUUUGAAUUACUGGACAAAGAUCAGGAGGAUCACCGUGAGAAUUCUUGCUCAAGAUGAUCGUGUGAUCCACGGAAUCGAGCAAAUCGCUUUCAGAUACGGCAUUCAUGUGCGCCGACUCUAGCUUUCAUCAUGUUUUUCUCAGCUACAGAUUCUUGCAUUGAGCAAAGAUAAUGUGCAGGAUAAAAUAAAGCUUCGAUUGUUUACUGGAUUAAAGAAUCUUAAGAAAUUGGUAUUAGGAUGAUGAAAGUCUCCUCCUUUUCACUCCCUUGGUAGAGGCAUGCCCUUACUUGCAAAUAUUUGUGUUCAAGAUAAUGUGGACUAGCCCUCUAAAUAAGUAGAGAAGAGUGAUAAAAGCUGUCAAAUGCCCGCAUUAUCAUCUCAAAGUGGUGGAAAUAGGUGGAUAUUAUUGUGGUAGUAGUGAUUUUGGACUUGCCAUGUACUUCAUUGAUAAUGCUACGAUACUUAAAAAAUUCAUAAUUGAUCCUCAAUACCAAUGUCAGUGGCAUUCAAUAUCAAGAAUUGAAAUUAAGGAAGAUCAAGAGCUGGAACAAACUAGAAGGCAUCGUGCUAGGCGGCAGCUUGAGUCAAAAGUACCUCCAAGAGUCAAGUUGGAGAUCCUUUAAUCUAAAUGCACAUUGCAUUUAAGACGCCAACUAUGUAUUGAUUCUCCUCCUCCCCCUCUUUUGGCCAUUAUUAUAUGACGCUCAAAAUUACUAAAGGAUUAUAAUUUCUUUUUUUCUCUCUCUAGUUAAAAAGAGGGGGAAAAAAAAAAGAAAAAAGAGAAAAAGAUAAUGACUAUUGUAUUGGUAAUUUGAAAUAAUUAAAAAUUCCAAGGUGUGCUUGCUGAGAUUUCAUAUUAGCUACUCUUAUAAUAUAAUGGAAUGCAAGUCUUAUUUUUAGUGCUAAGUAAGACUUGUUCUACUUAUGAUUAGCAUAAAUGGGAAUUGGACUAUCAUUAUAAUUUCUCAUAUGCUGUCCAAAUCUGUAAAUGUAUCUUUCUCUGGUACUAUAUAUUAUGUAAUUCUCUGUUUUUCUUC